Gorilla gorilla gorilla (western lowland gorilla) is the source of this 2436-nucleotide long non-coding RNA. RefSeq lists it as uncharacterized. The transcript is spliced from 3 exons. The record is from RefSeq and is a predicted model, not a curated record. NCBI's taxonomy places the organism in Eukaryota, Metazoa, Chordata, Mammalia, Primates, Hominidae.
AGCAAUGGAAGGCGAAGCUGGAAGGUCAGGAUGGGAUCUGAUUUGGAAGAGCCCUGUAGAUCUAUCCUGAGGAGUUUGGCCUUUAUCUCAUAAGGGCUUUGUCUUAGCCUUGAUGGCAGUUUAAAAAUCAAAUGAAAUACUGAUUCCUGAGUGCAGUGUGAAGUGGAAAAGCUGCCACUAUUUGCAUUUAAUCUAUAAAGAAACUGACGCAUACAGAGAUUAAGGAAUAUGCGGAGGAGGAUAUCACAGCUGCUAAGUGGCAGAUCUGAGCCUGACAAGUCUACGCCACUGUUGCUUAUGGUACCUUUAACUGACUGGGCAUGAAGAGGAAGGGGAGGGGGAUUGUGCCUAGGGGGAGAGAGAAAACAAGUUCACUACAGCUGUGUACGUUAUUAUUUCACACAAAGUCUUGAAUGAAUUCCUUGCAUGUGGCAAUUCUCUAAAGAAUAUAUGUAUAUUUUCUGAAUAAACAGUAGUGAAAACCCAGAGGUAAAGAUGGGAAAUAAAAAUGACGGGGGUGUGCAGGCAUGACGUGCACAUGUGCCUACAUACACUGCUCUGCCCACCAAGGGUCUACUGCACAGGGCAUUAUUACCAAGAGAAUCAAAGGGAGGUAGUGAAUCACAUAUUCCCUGUUAUUAGGUUUAAGAAAAAAGUAAUGAGUAGGAAGAGAGGCAGCAGCAACUUUAGAAGCAGAACGUAAGGUGCAUUAGGGAACCAGUAGCAGGAGCAGAGUGAGAUGAACCGAAUAUACCUCUGAGAAUAACUAACAGUGUGUGCUGGGCAGCAGCUUAGGUGCCCUGAGAAAUCUGUUCUUCUAGAUUUUGCCAUGUGCCUCUGUGGCAGGCAAAAUAAUGGCCCCUCAAGGAUGCACAUGUACUAAGCCUUGGAAUUCUACAUGGCAACAGGGACUUCACAGAAGUGAUUAAAUGAAGGACCUUCAGAUGGAGAGAUUAUCCUGGACAACCCGGGUGGGACCAAUGUCAUCAUAAGCAUUCUUCAAAGUGGAAGAGGGAGGCAGAAGAGGAGGUCAGAGGGGUGCAGGGUGAGAAAUCCACCAACCAGAUCCUGCUAGUUUUGAAGAUGCAGGAAGGUGGGCAUGAACUAAGGAAUGCAGGCAGCCUCGAAAAGCUGGAAAAAGGCAAGAAAACAGAUUCUUUCCCAGAGCCCCCGGAAAAAAAAAUGAAGCUUUGCAGAUCCAUUUUAGACUUCCGACCUCCAGAAGAACUGUAAGGCCUGUAUAAUCUACUGUGAUUGUUUUGAAUAAAGGCAUUUGUUAAGAGAGGAGGAAAACAAGACAGAGAGCCUGCUCUUUGCCAGGGCCUUUUAAGAUUUUCUUACUGAACUUUCUCAAUCCUGAAACAAAUUUUGAGACUUCAGCUGUAAUUUAUGAAGCACUGAAGGGACUACAUCCAUCCGAGUGAUAGAAACUCCAGGCUGAAGCUGCUCAAGCAACCCUAACUCGUCUUAUGUAUCAAUAACCCCAGUACCUGGCACUGAGCAACAUCGAAAAUUGGAGAGAAUAAACUGUGGACAUAUAUUUUUAAAAUUUAGCUCACUAGGAUAAGAGAAUCUGAUUGCAGACUUUAUGUUCUUUGGACUUUAAUUUGUAAAGUGAUUGAAUAUUUGGACUUAAAUUUCUCUCCAGGAAUUUGAAAAUGGUAGGGAGUUUGUAUUCAAACUUAGGGCAUCUUUAUGUUGACAGUCUAUUAAAUAUCUUAACUUAAUCAGGUUGUUUGAUCUCUACAACCUGUUAUGCUGUCUUUUAGAAACAUGACUAUAUAUAAUUUGAAAUGGGGAAUAGGAAAUAGAUUUUGAGCCUUGGCUACAGUAUAGUCUUCGAGCUAAUUUCAUGGAUGUACAGGUGUCAUUAAUCUCAGAGCUUGUGAGGGGGAAAUCCACACUGUCUAUAGUGAUCCCAUGGUGACUGCCAAAGCAGCAUUAGUUGGCCCUGGGAGAAUGGCCUGUAGGAGUAAGACUGUCUUGACAGGUUGCUGAUCUCUUCUCCUGAGGGCAACAGCCACACUGCAGGAGGAAAACAAACAGCUGAGAGUGGUGGCCUAAAAAGGUGCUAGUCAGAUUUCCUGUGGAGGGGAGCACAGUUGACUCAAAACCCCAAAUGCCACCCCUCUGGAUCCAGCACCAUGUGCGGUGCUGCCAAAUUCUUCCAGGAUGGUCCCAGCCAACCAAUGCUGAGCCUGGUGGGAGUAGUGGUACAGGGUCCAUUCCUGCCUGAUGUGAAACUUUGCUGGCAGGUGAUUGGCUUGAGGACUUUCCAUUGGUCUUUUCAAAACUUUCUUAGAACUGCACCAUGCUACCCAAUCAUUGUUCCUUCCUUUAGCCUUCCCCACACCGCCUCCCACAGGUGCCAGACUUACCUCCUGGUCUGAGGCUGUCCUUACUUACUCAUGCUUCCUUCCUGUACCCUUCAUAGGC